RNAcentral lists this ribosomal RNA (468 nucleotides) under uncultured bacterium. RNAcentral describes it as "partial 16S ribosomal RNA". It matches the Rfam family "Bacterial small subunit ribosomal RNA", at positions 28 to 507 of the family's 1533-position model. The record is from RNAcentral.
GACGAACGCUGGCGGCGUGCUUAACACAUGCAAGUCGAACGGAAAGGCCCUGCUUUUGUGGGGUGCUCGAGUGGCGAACGGGUGAGUAACACGUGAGUAACCUGCCCUUGACUUUGGGAUAACUUCAGGAAACUGGGGCUAAUACCGGAUAGGAGCUCCUGCUGCAUGGUGGGGGUUGGAAAGGUUAGGCGGUUGGGGAUGGACUCGCGGCUUAUCAGCUUGUUGGUGGGGUAGUGGCUUACCAAGGCUUUGACGGGUAGCCUGCCUGAGAAGGUGACCGGCGACACUGGGACCAGAAUACGGCCCGAGCUACUAGGGAGGACAAUAGCGGAGUAUGUUGCACAAUGGACCAGAGCCGGAGCGAGAGAGGCCGCGUGCUGUAGGUUGGAAUUCGGGUUGGAAAGCGAAUACGACUGUGACCAAGGGUAAAUGACGGUAACGGGUAAAGAAGCACCGGCUAACUACGUG